UCAAGCAAAUAAGGGCGCACGGUGGAUGCCCUGGCACCAGAAGCCGAAGAAGGACGCGAUAAGCUGCGAUAAGCUGCGAGUAGCCGCAAAUAGGCUGUGAUUCGCAGAUUUCCGAAUGGGGAAACCUAAUGUGCAAACGCACAUUACUUUAAGCUGAAUAAAUAGGUUUAAAGGGGGAUACCUGGGGAACUGAAACAUCUAAGUACCCAGAGGAAGAGAAAGAAUAAUCGAUUUCCUAAGUAGCGGCGAGCGAACGGGAAAGAGCCCAAACCAAGCCCUUCGGGGAUUGGGGUUGAGGACAGACAGAAGUGUAAAGUAAAAUUUAAUUGAAGAGGUCUGGAAAGGCCCGCCAUAGAAUGUAACGGCCAUGUAAAUAAAAAGAAGAACUUUACCAGUCUGCUCCAGAGUACCACGAGACACGUGAAACCUUGUGGGAAGCAGGGAGGACCACCUCCCAAGGCUAAAUACUAACUGGUGACCGAUAGCGAAUAGUACCGUGAGGGAAAGGCGAAAAGAACCCCAGAAGGGGAGUGAAAUAGAACCUGAAACCGUGUGCUUACAAGCAGUCGGAGCUCGUUAAGGAGUGACGGCGUGCUUUUUGUAGAACGAGCCAGCGAGUUACGGUAUGCAGCGAGGUUAAGCACUUAAGGUGCGAAGCCGGAGGGAAACCGAGUCUGAAAAGGGCGCAAAGUUGUAUGCUGUAGACCCGAAACCGGGUGACCUAUCCAUGGACAGGAUGAAGUUGAGGUAAAACUCAAUGGAGGUCCGAACUAAAUUGGUGUUGAAAAACCAUGAGAUGAUCUGUGGAUAGCGGAGAAAUUCCAAUCGAACUCGGAGAUAGCUGGUUCUCCCCGAAAUAGCUUUAGGGCUAGCCUUGGAUGAUGAGCUUUGGAGGUAGAGCACUGAAUGGACUAGGGGCUGUAUAAGCUACCAAACCCUAUCAAACUCCGAAUGCCAAAGUUUUAAUCCAGGAGUCAGACUACGAGUGAUAAGAUCCGUGGUCAAAAGGGAAACAGCCCAGACCAUCAGCUAAGGUCCCAAAAUGCAGAUUAAGUGGUAAAGGAGGUGAGAUCUCAAAGACAACCAGGAUGUUGGCUUAGAAGCAGCCAUACAUUCAAAGAGUGCGUAAUAGCUCACUGGUCGAGAGGUCUUGCACCGAAGAUGUCCGGGGCUCAAAUCUGCUACCGAAGCUAUGGAUGUACGAAAGUACGUGGUAGGGGAGCAUCGUAUACGGAGCGAAGCCAUAUCGUAAGGAGUGGUGGACUGUAUACGAGAGAGAAUGCUGGCAUAAGUAACGAAAGAUAGGUGAGAAUCCUAUCCAUCGAAAACCUAAGGUUUCCUGAGGAAGGUUCGUCCACUCAGGGUUAGUCGGGACCUAAGUCGAGGCCGAAAGGCGUAGAUGAUGGACAAUCGGUUGAAAUUCCGAUACCACCUUUAAGCGUUUAAGAAAAGGGGUGACGCAGGAGGAUAAGCUGAGCGCACGGAUGGAAAAGUGCGUCUAAGAACUAAGUCAGACCUUCAAGGAAAAUCCGGGAGGUGACGAUAAGGUUUAAUGGGGAGCCGCAAGGCGAAGCAGCUGAAUUCACACUGCCAAGAAAAGCCUCUAUCGAGCAAGAAGGUGCCCGUACCGCAAACCGACACAGGUAGGUGAGGAGAGAAUCCUAAGAUGAGCGAGAGAACCCUUGUUAAGGAACUCGGCAAAUUAACCCCGUAACUUCGGGAGAAGGGGUACUCAAAAGAGUCGCAGUUAAAAGGCCCAAGCAACUGUUUAGCAAAAACACAGGUCUCUGCUAAGUCGCAAGACGAUGUAUAGGGGCUGACGCCUGCCCGGUGCUGGAAGGUUAAGGGGAGAGGUUAGCGAAAGCGAAGCUUUAAACUUAAGCCCCAGUAAACGGCGGCCGUAACUAUAACGGUCCUAAGGUAGCGAAAUUCCUUGUCGGGUAAGUUCCGACCCGCACGAAUGGCGUAAUGACUUGGGCACUGUCUCAACAAGGGACUCGGUGAAAUUGUAGUACCGGUGAAGAUGCCGGUUACCCGCGAUUAGACGGAAAGACCCCGUAGAGCUUUACUGUAGCUUAUCAUUGAGUUUCGGUAUUGUCUGUACAGGAUAGGUGGGAGGCUUAGAAGUAGGGGCGUCAGCUUCUAUGGAGCCAACGUUGGGAUACCACCCUGACAGUACUGAAACUCUAACCGGAGGCUUUGAAACAAGUCACGGGACAUUGUUAGGUGGGCAGUUUGACUGGGGCGGUCGCCUCCUAAAAAGUAACGGAGGCGCCCAAAGGUUCCCUCAGCGCGGUUGGAAAUCGCGCGCAGAGUGCAAAGGCAGAAGGGAGCCUGACUGCGAGACAAACAAGUCGAGCAGAGACGAAAGUCGGGCUUAGUGAUCCGGUGGUUCCGAGUGGAAGGGCCAUCGCUCAACGGAUAAAAGCUACCUCGGGGAUAACAGGCUGAUCUCCCCCAAGAGUCCACAUCGACGGGGAGGUUUGGCACCUCGAUGUCGGCUCGUCGCAUCCUGGGGCUGAAGUAGGUCCCAAGGGUUGGGCUGUUCGCCCAUUAAAGCGGUACGCGAGCUGGGUUCAGAACGUCGUGAGACAGUUCGGUCCCUAUCUGUCGCGGGCGUAGGAAAUUUGAAAGGAGCUGUCCUUAGUACGAGAGGACCGGGAUGGACAGACCUAUGGUGUACCAGUUGUCACGCCAGUGGCACCGCUGGGUAGCUAUGUCUGGAAGGGAUAAGCGCUGAAAGCAUCUAAGCACGAAGCCCACCUUAAGAUAAGAUUUCCCAUUAAGGUUCCUUAAAGAACAUGAGGUUGAUAGGUCGGAGGUGUAAGUACUGUGAGGUACUCAGCUGACCGAUACUAAUAGGCCGAGUGCUUGAUCAU
RNAcentral lists this ribosomal RNA (2879 nucleotides) under fermentation metagenome. RNAcentral describes it as "bacterial LSU rRNA". It matches the Rfam family "Bacterial large subunit ribosomal RNA". The record is from RNAcentral.